This is a non-coding RNA of Myodes glareolus (Bank vole), 1379 nucleotides long. The record is from RefSeq and is a predicted model, not a curated record. Lineage: Eukaryota; Metazoa; Chordata; Mammalia; Rodentia; Cricetidae.
CUAUCGGGGCUGGGGGAGGUGGGUAGGGGUGAGGGCAGUUGCUUGUUGGGAAGAGAGACUUGGAGUUGGCCUUGAGUCCCAUCCCCAAGACUUAUUGGAAUAGGAAAUUGCCACUUUCUGCAGCCAGAUAAGCUCUGAUGAGAACAGCUGGCCCUGGGACAGUGUUAAGAACCAAACCGAAAGCAAGCUGGUUUCCUGGUCAGCAGACACCAGGCCUAGGCUACGGUUUGUAGUCCCCACUGCAGCCUGGGCCUGUGGUGUGCUGAGUCACCACCCUAGAAGCCCUCAGUGGGGUUUUUCCAUAACUUUGAGGUUUGGAAAUGUCCCAGACUCGCCUGCUCUAGUUGGAAUCUCAUCUCUGGCGUUCCCAGAGGCUUUUUGCCCUCUCUGGGAAACAGCUGCUCAAAGACAGAAAAACCAUGCUGGGAGAGACAUUGCUCAACUAACCAAGCAAUAUUGGCUAUGUGUAUGUGACGUAAUUAAACUUCUCUGGUUUAGCCAUUCACAAAUGGCGCCAUUGUUUUCUCUGUUUGAGCCAUAUGACUGCACAUGAUCAAAGAUGAUGUCAUAUCCUAAAUGAUCUAGGCUCCAUACAGAUACUCACCUUUUCUGUCAGUAUAAUUGAUACAUGCCUACGGUAUGUGAUCGCAAACAAAAAACCUAACCUCUCUGACAUUCGGCUGUUAUCCUGGCCAGGGCUUUCUGAGGGAGAGCUUGAGGAAAAAAUUUGUGAAGAGGUAGUUUGUUCGAGAACAUGACUCCAGGAAGCAGGAAAGAGGGAUGGGGACUGAACCCUAGAAGAAAACCUGUGUAAGGUGGGUCAGCACACUGGCAAACGCUGUGGGUAUCUAGGGCUCCAUGCCAUCAUGACCUUCCCCAGAAAACCUGAAAUGUCUCAGAAUUGUCUUCUGGAGAACAAGCACUUACCCACUGGCUCCUAAUGGUCAAGGGAAACCCACAGACUCCAAGUUCCACGUAUUUAUGAGCUACAUAUGCUUGAGAUUGGUGCCCUUUUGAUUAUCUACUCAUCUGUAUUCAGGAAACAUGUUCGCUAGGUUUUGGUCAACUUGACACAAUCUCAAUUCAUCUGAGAAGAAGGAACCACAAUUCCAGAAGACUGGCCUGUGGGGCAUUUUCUUUAUUAAUGGUUAAUGUGGGAGAACCCAGUCCGUUGGUUGGUGCCACCCUUGAGUAGGUGGUCCUGGAUGGUAUACGAAUGCAAUCUGAGCAAACCAUGAAGAGCAAGUAAGGAAGCAGCUCUCUUCCAUGACCUCUGCAUCAGUUCCUGUCUCCACAUUCUUGACCUGCUUGAGUUCCUGACCUGAAUUCCUUGGAAGAUGAACUAGUUUGUAUGAUGAAAUAAACCCUUUCUUCCCCAA